GAUCAUGGCUCAGGACGAACGCUGGCGGCGUGCUUAACACAUGCAAGUCGAACGGAGCACCCUUGACUGAGGUUUCGGCCAAAUAAUAGGGAUGCUUAGUGGCGGACUGGUGAGUAACGCGUGAGGAACCUACCUUCCAGAGGGGGACAACAGUUGGAAACGACUGCUAAUACCGCAUGACGCAUGACCGGGGCAUCCCGGGCAUGUCAAAGAUUUUAUCGCUGGAAGAUGGCCUCGCGU
This 240-nucleotide ribosomal RNA is filed under the name uncultured bacterium. Its description in RNAcentral is "partial 16S ribosomal RNA". It matches the Rfam family "Bacterial small subunit ribosomal RNA", at positions 15 to 236 of the family's 1533-position model. The record is from RNAcentral.